GAACGAACGCUGGCGGCAUGCCUAACCCAUGCAAGUCGAACGAGACCUUCGGGUCUAGUGGCGCACGGGUGCGUAACGCGUGGGAACCUGCCCUUAGGUUCGGAAUAACUCCCCGAAAGGGGUGCUAAUACCGGAUAAUGUCUUCGGACCAAAGAUUUAUCGCCGUUGGAUGGGCCCGCGUUGGAUUAGCUAGUUGGUAGGGUAAAAGCCUACCAAGGCGACGAUCCAUAGCUGGUCUGAGAGGAUGAUCAGCCACACUGGGACUGAGACACGGCCCAGACUCCUACGGGAGGCAGCAGUGGGGAAUAUUGGACAAUGGGCGAAAGCCUGAUCCAGCAAUGCCGCGUGAGUGAUGAAGGCCUUAGGGUUGUAAAGCUCUUUUACCCGGGAUGAUAAUGACAGUACCGGGAGAAUAAGCUCCGGCUAACUCCGUG
This 434-nucleotide ribosomal RNA is filed under the name uncultured bacterium. RNAcentral describes it as "partial 16S ribosomal RNA". It matches the Rfam family "Bacterial small subunit ribosomal RNA", at positions 27 to 507 of the family's 1533-position model. The record is from RNAcentral.